RNAcentral lists this ribosomal RNA (253 nucleotides) under uncultured bacterium. RNAcentral's name for it is "partial 16S ribosomal RNA". It matches the Rfam family "Bacterial small subunit ribosomal RNA", at positions 524 to 776 of the family's 1533-position model. The record is from RNAcentral.
UACGUAGGGUCCGAGCGUUGUCCGGAAUUAUUGGGCGUAAAGGGCUCGUAGGCGGUCUGUCACGUCGGGGGUGAAAACUCAGGGCUCAACCCUGAGCGUGCUUCCGAUACGGGCAGACUAGAGGUAUGCAGGGGAGAACGGAAUUCCUGGUGUAGCGGUGGAAUGCGCAGAUAUCAGGAGGAACACCGGUGGCGAAGGCGGGUCUCUGGGCCGAUACUGACGCUGAGGAGCGAAAGCGUGGGGAGCGAACAGG